CGAAACCGGGUGACCUAACCAUGAGCAGGCUGAAGUGAGAGUAAAAUCUCAUGGAGGGCCGAACGCACGUUCGUUGCAAUGACCGGCGAUGACUUGUGGUUAGCGGAGAAAUUCCAAUCGAACUCGGAGAUAGCUGGUUCUCCCCGAAAUAGCUUUAGGGCUAGCGUUAUCUUAGAUUACCGGAGGUAAAGCACUGAAUGGGCUAGGGGGCGAUAAGCUUACUGAACCCUAUCAAACUCAGAAUGCCGGCUAAUUGAUGGAUAGCAGUCAGACAGUGUGAGAUAAGUUUCAUUGUCAAAAGGGAAACAGCCCAGACCCACAGCUAAGGUCCCUAAUGCAUGCUAAGUGGAAAACGAUGUGGAAUUGCGAAAACAACCAGGAUGUUGGCUUAGAAGCAGCCACUCAUUAAAAGAGUGCGUAAUAGCUCACUGGUCGAGUGACUCUGCGCGGAAAAUAUAACGGGGCUAAGCAUGCAACCGAAGCUUGGGAUUGUCAAAAGACAGUGGUAGGGGAGCGUCGUGUACGGGGUGAAGUCGCAUCGGAAGGAGCGGUGGACUGUACACGAGUGAGAAUGCCGGAAUGAGUAGCGAGAAUUAUGUGGGAAUCAUAAUGGCCGAAAAUCUAAGGUUUCUUGGGGAAGGUUCGUCCGCCCAAGGUAAGCCGGGAGCUAAGGCGAGGCCGCAAGGCGUAGUCGAUGCACAUACGGUAAAGAUUCCGUAGCCGCCGAACUUUAAGUCAGAGGGACACUUGCAGAUAGCGGAACCCAGCCGUUGGUUGAGCUGGGCGAAAGGGACUGAAUUUAGUAGGGAAGUCCGCGAUGCUGAAAGGCGAGAAAAGCUCUGAUGAAUACUAAGGCGCCCGUACCGCAAACCGACACAGGUAGAUGAGGAGAGAAUCCUAAGGCCAACGGGAGAAGGGUUGUUAAGGAACUCGGCAAAUUGACCCCGUAACUUCGGAAGAAGGGGAGCCCCGAAAGGGGCCGCAGUGAAUAGGCCCAAGCAACUGUUUACCAAAAACACAGGUUUAUGCUAAAUCGAAAGAUGACGUAUAUGAGCUGACGCCUGCCCGGUGCCGGAAGGUUAAGAGGAGAGCUUAGAGCAAUCGAAGGUUUGAAUUGAAGCCCCGGUAAACGGCGGCCGUAACUAUAACGGUCCUAAGGUAGCGAAAUUCCUUGUCAGGUAAGUUCUGACCCGCACGAAUGGCGUAAUGAUUUGGGCACUGUCUCGACAGCCCGCCCGGCGAAAUUGUAGUACUGGUGAAGAUGCCAGUUACCCGCAACUAGACGGAAAGACCCCAUGGAGCUUUACUGCAGUUUAAUACUGGGAAUCGGUAAUGCAUGUACAGGAUAGGUGGGAGACUAGGAAGCAUGGUCGUCAGGUCAUGUGGAGUCACCGGUGGGAUACCACUCUUGUAUUGCUGAUUUCCUAACCUGCGGCCGUGAAUCCGGUCGGGGGACACUGUUAGACGGGCAGUUUGACUGGGGCGGUCGCCUCCAAAAGAGUAACGGAGGCGCUCAAAGGUUCGUUCAGCACGGACGGAAAUCGUGCAUUGAGUGUAAACGCAUAAACGAGCCUAACUGCGAGACCGACGGGUCGAGCAGUAACGAAAGUUGGAGUUAGUGAUCCGGUGGUAUGUGAGUGGAAAUGCCAUCGCUCAACGGAUAAAAGCUACCCUGGGGAUAACAGGCUGAUCUCCCCCAAGCGUCCACAGCGACGGGGAGGUUUGGCACCUCGAUGUCGGCUCGUCGCAUCCUGGGGCUGUAUUCGGUCCCAAGGGUUUGGCUGUUCGCCAAUUAAAGCGGCACGCGAGCUGGGUUCAGAACGUCGUGAGACAGUUCGGUCCCUAUCUGUUGCGGGCGUAAGAGAUUUGAAGGGAGCUGUCCUUAGUACGAGAGGACCGGGAUGGACGUACCUCUGGUGCACCAGUUGUCCUGCCAAGGGCAUAGCUGGGUAGCUAUGUACGGACGAGAUAAACGCUGAAAGCAUCUAAGCGUGAA
This 1996-nucleotide ribosomal RNA is filed under the name Brotocaccenecus cirricatena. Its description in RNAcentral is "partial 23S ribosomal RNA". It matches the Rfam family "Bacterial large subunit ribosomal RNA", at positions 716 to 2791 of the family's 2925-position model. Lineage: Bacteria; Bacillati; Bacillota; Clostridia; Eubacteriales; Oscillospiraceae. The record is from RNAcentral.